AAGCUCGUAGUUGAAUUUCGGGACCAAUAUGUCGGUCGUGCUUCGGUACGUACUGUCAUAAUUGGUUUCUCCCUUCUGAAGAACCUUGAUGUCAUUAAUUUGGUGUCUUGGGGAAUCAGGACUGUUACUUUGAAAAAAUUAGAGUGUUUAAAGCAGGCUCGCGCUUGAAUACAUUAGCAUGGAAUAAUGAAAUAGGACGUUUGAUUCUAUUUUGUUGGUUUCUAGGAUCGACGUAAUGAUUAAUAGGGAUAGUUGGGGGCAUUAGUAUUCAAUUGUCAGAGGUGAAAUUCUUGGAUUUAUUGAAGACUAACUACUGCGAAAGCAUUUGCCAAGGAUGUUUUCAUUAAUCAAGAACGAAAGUUAGGGGAUCGAAGACGAUCAGAUACCGUCGUAGUCUUAACCAUAAACUAUGCCGACUAGGGAUCGGAUGAUGUUAAUUUUUUAAUGACUCAUUCGGCGCCUUACGGGAAACCAAAGUGUUUGGGUUCCGGGGGGAGUAUGGUCGCAAGGCUGAAACUUAAAGGAAUUGACGGAAGGGCACCACCAGGGGUGGAGCCUGCGGCUUAAUUUGACUCAACACGGGGAAACUCACCAGGUCCAGACAUAGUAAGGAUUGACAGAUUGAGAGCUCUUUCUUGAUUCUAUGGGUG
This 650-nucleotide ribosomal RNA is filed under the name uncultured Glomus. RNAcentral describes it as "SSU rRNA". It matches the Rfam family "Eukaryotic small subunit ribosomal RNA", at positions 624 to 1276 of the family's 1831-position model. Lineage: Eukaryota; Fungi; Glomeromycota; Glomeromycetes; Glomerales; Glomeraceae. The record is from RNAcentral.